GACAGAGGGUGCAAACGUUGUUCGGAAUUACUGGGCGUAAAGCGCGUGUAGGCGGCUUGGCAAGUCGGGUGUGAAAGCCCUGGGCUCAACCUAGGAAGUGCACUCGAAACUGCCUCGCUGGAGUGCCGGAGAGGAAGGCGGAAUUCUCGGUGUAGAGGUGAAAUUCGUAGAUAUCGAGAGGAACACCGGUGGCGAAGGCGGCUUUCUGGACGGUUACUGACGCUGAGACGCGAAAGCGUGGGGAGCAAACAGG
This 253-nucleotide ribosomal RNA is filed under the name uncultured bacterium. Its description in RNAcentral is "partial 16S ribosomal RNA". It matches the Rfam family "Bacterial small subunit ribosomal RNA", at positions 524 to 776 of the family's 1533-position model. The record is from RNAcentral.